Molecule: non-coding RNA, 7332 nt
Organism: Equus caballus (horse)
Lineage: Eukaryota; Metazoa; Chordata; Mammalia; Perissodactyla; Equidae
Source: RefSeq, a predicted model, not a curated record
CUUGCAUGCUGGCUGCCUCUUCUGCCAUGGCUGUGGGGCCUGGCUGGCCCCUGUGCUCUCGGACAGCUGGGCUUGUGGCCGUUGGCCCAGCUAGCAAGGAAAGGGCCUUGACUUGUGCCUGGCGUGUGGCAGACCCUCCGCUCACGGGAGGUGACUGAGUACAGGACUGAGUUGGAGCUCACUAACCCCAGUUUCCAGAAUCGUGUGUAUGUGGUGCCCAUCCUGGGGGCUGUAUUUUUUUUUUUUUUUUUUAAGACAACAAAAGAAAAAAGAAGAGUAUCUUUCUCAAGGUGUAAGUAACUCUUCACAUCUAUUCCCAGGGCACAGAGGAGUGAGCAUUCUCGAUGUUUUCUCGAGGUUUCUUAGAGGAAAUCUCUCACCCAUUCUUGCGGGUGUGGCACUUGGCUGCUGGGAACAGACACAGUUUAUCUUGCAGAAAAACUGUUUUGCAAGAGGUUUCCCACAAUUAUGGUCUAGGGAGGGUCCCUGCCAGCUUUUCUUAGUCACUUGGGCUUCGGAGGGGGAAGGUGGGUUUUUUUUUUGUUGUUCUCUCUUUUUUUUUAAUCUAAAGGCGAGAGCCAUCUGGGAGCAGGCACACAUGGGUAAUUACCCGAGUUAGGAGACAAAAGGACUGCUGAUCAGCAGUUCUCAGUGCCGCUGCAGGUGGCUGAUGGCUUUUGGUGGAAUGUCACCAAGUGCUCAGGCUGGGCGGUGAGUCAGAAAUCCUUAGGUCACUUGCGGUUUUCUUUCAUGGUUUUGCUGUGACUAUUAACUUGUUUUUACUUAACAAGAAAAACAGGUGCCUGGGUGUCUGUUUGAAACCGUGUUGCCCUGCUCUUAACAGCUUACUGUAGUCACAUGGCAGCCCCGGUUCGGUUGGCACUAAAUGGAUAACUGAAAAUAAGGAGUAGCCAGCAAGCCCUUUAGACAGGGCAUCCCUGGGCACCAGGACCAGGCCUGGAACCUCAGAUCCUUGUGAGGUUCCUGAGGAGGGAAAGUGAGCUUGGAUUAAUCAAUUGGGCGAUGGACUUGAGCUGCCCACUUGUUGCCCUCGCAGGGCCCUCUGGAGCGAAUGCCCCCCGUGGAAGGGAGCACGUGUGCUCUGACCUUGGCUUUGAUUUUUUACAGGCCACCUGGAUGGGCUGACGGCUCUCACCUUGAGUUCCGUAGCCUUUGGGAUGGAAAUAAAAGCAGCGCAUUUGUCCAAACACUGCUUUGGGGCGUCUUUCCACCUGGCCAGGCAGCCAGGCAUGGAAACACUCUUGUGUUUCCAGGACCUGAGGAUGCACAGGACCUCCCGCCUCCCCGGCUGCAGGUGCUGGCUGCUUCCCUCGGGUCCUAAGACCUGAAAGGAUGAGUUUCAGGCUUUACUGAAAAGACCUUCAGAAAUGAGAAUAUUUGGCUUCAAUCAAGUCUGCUCUGUUUGCAGGGAUGAAAGAGAAGGAAGGUGCCAGCUUGAACCCGUGGCCUUGGGACUGGAAGUGGCUGGGACCUGCCAGAAAAACAUAGACCUUUUUUACCAGGAGUUAAAAGUGGCCCCAGAUGUCCUCCUUUUGGCCUGUCCUCACUGUACCUGCAUUAUAACUAUGUUCAUGACCUUUAGUCACGGAGAACGGCAGGAUUAGGGUUUUCAUCCGCUGCUGGCAGCACAGGUGGUUGGGCUGCCAGUGAUUGCCCAGCGUGUAACUUCCCAGUUGUCUGCCACCAAGCCAAGGCUGCAGGGUCCCCUGGAAAUUGUGGGGUGCUUGGACUUUUCCCUCUGUGGCUGGGAGCUCCCAAGAUUUGCUGCCUAGCCAUGUCACCACAGCUGGCAGGAAGAAUCAGGGUGGCUGGAUGAGUCAGACACUCUAGGAUAUUAGAGAUGAAUGUCACAGAGGUCAUGUCUGAGGGAUACGGCAGGCACAGCACUGCAACCAGCUGCUCUCCAGGAGGUGCCAGUGGUACAACCGGGAGAAAGAGUGGCUGCAAGUCCCCCUUGCUUUCUUCCCUGCUGUGUCCCCAGUCCUCGAACGUGCAUAGUACACAGUAGUUAAUUCAUUGGUGGGAUGAAUCCAUUUUCUUCUUUUUGGGAGGAAAGAGGCGGUGCAGGGGGGCACCUGUCAAUGCGUCACUCGUCUCUUUACAGGCUAUCUUUUAUCUUCCUGUCCCCAUAUGUGAUUAUUGGAGGGACGUGGAAUGGUGUAAGCAAGAGGGCUGUUGUCAAUGAAUGAGUAGAUCAGAUUGGGGCUCCUGGGCCCCUGCCCUGCCCUCGCCAACGGGUGGAUUGCCUGUGGGAAGCAGGGCUGGAGCGGGGCCUGCAGGAACCCUGGGCAAUUGGGCAAUGGUGGGGAAGCCGGCUGAUGCAAAUGACGAAACAAGUGGCUUGUGGAUAAAGUGUUCUCUCCAGCAUGUAUUUGCCAGAGGCUGAAAAUUCAUCAGGAUGAGGCCCAGCAUGUGCUGGAAGCUGCCCUUGCAGCAAGUGGGAGAUUCCUUCAGUAGCUGCAAUUCCACACUCAGGGAGCCUGUGGUCAAGAGGCCUCCGGUGGCCUCACUCCAGCCAACGAAGCCGGAAGGAGCUGCUAUGCAAAGGCUGACAGCUUUGAAAGUCUGAGCUUUCUCUUAGGUGCUGGGAGCCCCUUCAACUUCUGAGCGCGUGGAUGAGAUGAGGCUAGGUGGGGAGACGUCCACCUUGCUGGCCACACUCAUCACGUGCAGAGAUGGCUCUGUGACCUGGUCACCGGAGGCAUUUGUCAUGCUCAUGGGGACCAUGAAAACCCUGAGACCCGGAGGCUCAGGGUGAGAGGUGGACAAGGGUCUUAAAAUCCACAUGAGCUACUUAGGGUUCCCUUGAUUCACUCGCGUGGAUGGAGCACCUAUUGCACAUGAGUAACUGGACCAGGCUCUAAGGACAAAGCUGUUGCUGGUAACAGAUAAGAUCAGACGUCUGAACAGGAGCUGCUGUCACCUGCCCGGAGCCUGAAGGUGUUUCUUAGGGAAACAGGGGAGGGGCGGCCCUUAGAAACUGCCAACAGAAGAGAAGUGUUUAUUCUUUUAUUUAAAAAGUCCAGUCCCUGGUUUUUGUUGUUCCAUCUGGCGGUAGCUCUAGACGCAUAAUUGCCCCAACACGCUUGCCUUCCGCUUACCUGCUCAGCCUCAGCUUCCCAUCUAAGAUGGGCUUGGGCGCAACACGUGGAGGGUUGGUGCCCAGAAGAGGAAACAGGAGGAGAGGAGACCCCACAAAGCAGCCUGAUGGCGCCCCCUCCUCUGUCUAACUGGCUUCCAAGGAAACCAAGAGACAUCUGAUGAGCUGCGUUGUCUUUGCUUCAUUGAGUCUGGGGCCUCAGCUGCGCAGAUGGAAAGGCUGGUGUUGAUGCCAUGCUGAGGGCUGGAGUCAUCCAAAGACUCGUUUGUAUUUGUAGAAGUUGAUGCUGGUCAUCAGCUGGGAAUUCGGCUGGCACUGUUGGCCAAAACAACUAUGUGAGGCCUGAGCUUUCUUUCAGCAGGGCAGCCUCAGAGGGUCGGACUUCUUCUCUUGGGCUCAGGAUUCCAACCACAAGAUGGAAACUGCCUCACCUUUUUAUGACCCAGCUUUGGAAACCUGGUGUGGCACUUUAGCUGCAUGCUUUUGGUCAUAAGCAAGUCUCAAGCCUGCCUCUCGAGGAAAGGAAUCACAUCCCACCUCUUGAGGAAGGUUCUGGAAGAGCAUGUGGUGGGGACGUAUUCCUGUGGCCACCUUUGGAAACACACUCUGCCACAGAACAGAGAGAAGGGAACUGCCAACGUUCCCUAUUGUGUCUGUCUAGGUCUACCGGCAGCACCAGGUUGAGACGAGCAGAAGCUGGCGAGACAGCUCUCGGGAACAACCAGUGACAGAGAGGGUGGUGGGUUUCUCGUAUGUUUGAAAUACCCAUGUAGAGGGCAGGGGGCUCAGGGACCGUGGCUUUGGGAUAUUGUUUACUGGCUGCACGUUCUGUUCUGGACUCUUAAAUCUCAGCUCUUGCAUUAUGCGGCUAAGCAGCCCUCCCCUUUACAUUUUGGGCCCAAAAUACUGCCAGGAAGGGGUGGCAACAGUUUUCCAUGAAAAUGCCUUGUGCGGUGCCUGGGACCUAGUACAUGCCUGACAAAUAAGGCCAUUAUUAUCCUGGUCUGACUCUCUCAUAAUCUGUAAUGAGUGCUCCAGGCAGGGGAGCAACAGGCCCUUCUCUUUUCAGACCUAUCUGAAGAUGGAAAUACGUGAAGGAGGUUUCCACCUGACCACUGCCUUGCGGAUUUAAAAAGCUGACUCUCACUCGUAAAAAUUGCUGAGAGGCGAGGAGCUUGGUGAUAAUUUUAAUAUUCAGUGUCUAUUUAAAUAGGUAGAAAACUGCCUUAUUUUAAAUACUUUAUAUUCUAAGUACUUUUUUAUUAUGUUGUAUUGGGCAUCUGCUUCAUAAAUAUAUCUUAUGUGUGGUAAAUAUAAUUUUUUUUUAAAGUAUCUAUAUUCUAGGAUCCUGUCAUAUCGUUUUCUUGGGCCUGCGUGCUGGAUGUCCAUCACCAUUGCUGUAGGAAAGAAAGUUCAUUGGCUCCUCCACUAUCUGAACUAAACUGAAUGGAAAUAUCUCAAGGGCAGAGCAGAGCUCUACUGUGAUGCUUAAUUUUAUGUGUCAACUUGGCUAGGUGAUGGGACCCAGACAUUUGAUCAAAGACUAUUCCAGAUAUUUCUGUGAAGAUAUUUUUAAGGUGAGAUUAACAGUUAAGUCAGUAGACUUUGAGUAAAGCAGAUUACUCUCAAUAAUGUGGGUGGCCCUCAUCCAAUCGGUUGUAGGCCUUAAAAGAACAAAGACUGACCUCUCCCAAGGAAGACAGUGCUGCCAGCAGACUGCCUUCAGAUGUGAGCUGCAGCCAUAACUCUCCUGCGGGCCUCCAGCCUGCCAGCCUAGCUGCGGAUUUUGGACUUCACAGCCUCUGCAAAUGCGUGAGCCAAUUCCUUAAAAUAAAUCGGCUUUCUCUCUCUCCAUCCUAUUGGUCCUGUUUCUCUGACUAAUAUAGAUUUUGGUGCUGAGAGUUUUCCUAGAAGAACAGAAACUGAAGGGAGUUUUCUGAAUUGGUUCUGGGGUUUCUGGAAUUAGUUCUCUAAUCUGAUUACAUCUGAAGGACAAGUGGAAGCCGCUAGAAUCACCUCUACCAAGGAAAACCAAAAGCAGUAGCACGUGCCCAGGGGGCUGCAGAAAUUAGUGCCACCAUCAAGGACUUGAGAGAUGCAGGGGUGGGGAUUCCCACCACAUCCCCAUUCAACUCUCCUGUUUCGUCUCUGCAGAAGACAGAUGGAUCCUGGAGAAUGAUAGUGGAUUAUUCUAAGUGUAACCAGGUGGUGACCUCACAGCUGCUGUGCCAGAUGGUUUCAUUGCUUGAGUAAAUUAAAACACUCCCUGGUACCUGGUGUCCAGCUAUUGAUCUGGUAAAUCCUUUCUCUCCAUACUUGUCCGUAAGAUUCACUAGAAGUAGUUUGUUUUCAGCUGGCGAGGCCAGCAACACAUCUUCACUGUUCUAGCUCAGGGCUAUGUCAACUCUCCAGCUCUGUGUCAUGAUUUAGUUCACAGAGAUCUUGAUCGCCUUUCCCUUCCACAAGAAAUCACACUGAUCCAUUACACUGAUGACCUUAUGCUGAUUGGACCCAGCGAGUAAGAAGUAGCCACUACGCUAAACUUAUUGGUAAAAUGUUUGUGUGGCAGGGAGUGGGAAUAAACUAAAAAAAAAUUUAGGGGCCUUCUACUUCAGUGAAAUUUCUUGGGGUGCAGUGGUGUGGGGCAUGUUGAGAUAGCCCUUCUAAGGCGAAGGUUGCAUCUGGCCCAUCCUACAACCAAAAUAGAGGCACAGCGGCCAGGGGGCCUCUUUGGAUUUUGGAGGGAACAUACUCCUCCUUUGGGUGUGCUACUCCAGCCCAUUUACGGAGUGACCCAAAAAGCUGCUAGUUUUGAGUGGGGACCAGAACAAGAGAAGGCUCUGCAAUGGGUCCAGGCUGCUGCGCUCGCUGCUCCGUCACUUGGGCCAUAAGAUGAAGCAGACCCAAUGGUGAUGGAGGAUGUCAGUGGCUGACAGGGAAGCUGUUGGGAGCCUUGGCAGACCCCUCUAGGUGAAUCACAGUGCAGGCCUUUCAGAUUUUGGAGUGAAGCCCUGCUAUCCUCUGCAGAUAGCUACUCUUUCUUUGAGAAAUAGUUCUUGGUCUGCUACUGGGUCUUAGUAGAGACUGAAUGUUUAACCAUGAGCCACCAAGUUACCAUGCGACCUGAGCUGCCCAUCAUGAACUGGGUAUUAUCUGACCCACCAAGUCAUAAAUUUGGAUGUGCACCGCAAUAUUCCAUCAUCAAAUGGGAGUGGUACCUACAUGAGAGGGCCUGAGCAGUCCCUGAAGGCACAAACGUGUUAUAUGAAGAAGUGGCUCAGGUGCCCACGCUUCCCACUCCUGCGACACUACCUUUUCUCUCCCAGCCUGUGCCUGUGGCUUCAUGGGGAGUUCCCCACAGUCAGAGGAGAGUUGGGCCUGGUUUAUAGAUGGUUCCGGCAAUACGCAGGAAGCACCUGGAAGUGGACAGCUGCAGCUCUACAGCCCUUCCUGGGACAUCGUCUCCGUGGCCAGAUCUUCAGGCAGUGCACCUGGUGGUUCAUUUUGCUUGGAAAGAGAAAUGGCCAGAUGUGCGAUUAUAUACUGAUUCAUGGGCUGCGGCCAACGGUCAGGGACUCAGAAGGAACGUGAUUGGAAAAUUGGUGACAGAGAUCCAGGAGGAGAUGUGUGGCUAGAUGUCUCUGAAUGGGCAAAGAACAUGAAGAUAUUUACAUCCCAUGUGAAUGCUCACCAAAGGGUGACCUCAGCAGAGGAAGAUUUUAAUAAUCAAGUGGAUAGGAUGACCAAAUUUCUGGAUACCAGUCAGCCUCCUUCCCAGACACCCCUGUCAUCACCAAAUGGGCUGAUGAACAAAGUGGUCAUGGUGGCAGGGAUGGGCUCAGCAACACGGGCUUCCACUCACCAAAGCUGACCUGGUUACAGCUGAUGCUGAGUGACCAGCUGCUAGCAGCCGACACCAACACUAAGUCCCUGAUGUGGCAUCAUUUCCCGGGGUGAUCAUCCGGCUACCUGGUGGCAGGCUGAUUACACUGGACCCCUUCCAUCAUGGAAAGGGCAGGGUUUUGUUCUUACUGGAACAGACACUUACUCUGGGCAUGGAUUUGCCUUCCUUGCACACAAUGUGUCUGCCAAAACUACCAUGCAUCGUGGACUUACAGGAUGCCUUAUCCACUUCAUGGUGUUCCACACAGCAUUGCUUUUUUUAAAAAAUUAUUUUGUUGGGGUCAUAUUGGCUUACAACAUUGUGUAAA